This is a long non-coding RNA of Coregonus clupeaformis (lake whitefish), 423 nucleotides long. RefSeq lists it as uncharacterized. Lineage: Eukaryota; Metazoa; Chordata; Actinopteri; Salmoniformes; Salmonidae. The record is from RefSeq and is a predicted model, not a curated record. The transcript is spliced from 3 exons.
AUUAACAACAACAAACGAACAUGCUCCUCUGAAACCAAACCUUUGCUUUAGGUUUAAUUGAACAUAUUGGUACAUUAUGCAGACACAUAAAUACAAUGUGAUAUCACACAAUAUAAAAUACAAAUAAAAUAUAAGAUCAGCCUAACUACAUGGACAGAUGUCUGGUGUCUUGCAGUAUUUCUUAAACUUAGAGAAAAUUAUCCUUUAUUGUUUAUUCAUAAAGAUCAUGAGCCCACCCUGGACCAGGAGGACCCAGUCCUUGUUCAGCCAACUUAUUACCUUACCCAUGCUGGGAGGAUGCUGGUGAGAGAGCUGGCAGUGUUAAACACACAGAUUUUCAUGAAUGAGCAACACAUUUUCAUCUCUCAUGCUGGCACGAUGGUAUGGGAUGAACUGUUUUCUCAGCCUGAAGAGGUAGCCAUU